CUACGGGUGGCUGCAGUGGGGAAUAUUGCACAAUGGAGGAAACUCUGAUGCAGCAACGCCGCGUGGAGGAUGACACUUUUCGGAGCGUAAACUCCUUUUAUAUAGGAAGAAGAUGACGGUACUAUAUGAAUAAGCGCCGGCUAACUCCGUGCCAGCAGCCGCGGUAAUACGGAGGGCGCAAGCGUUACUCGGAAUCACUGGGCGUAAAGAGCGUGUAGGCGGAUUAAAAAGUCAGAAGUGAAAUCCUAUAGCUUAACUAUAGAACUGCUUCUGAAACUCUUAAUCUAGAAUAUGGGAGAGGUAGAUGGAAUUUCUGGUGUAGGGGUAAAAUCCGUAGAGAUCAGAAGGAAUACUGAUUACGAAGGCGAUCUACUAGAACAUUAUUGACGCUGAGACGCGAAAGCGUGGGGAGCAAACAGGAUUAGAUACCCCGGUAGUC
RNAcentral lists this ribosomal RNA (439 nucleotides) under uncultured bacterium. RNAcentral's name for it is "partial 16S ribosomal RNA". It matches the Rfam family "Bacterial small subunit ribosomal RNA", at positions 339 to 795 of the family's 1533-position model. The record is from RNAcentral.